RNAcentral lists this ribosomal RNA (292 nucleotides) under uncultured Planctomycetota bacterium. RNAcentral's name for it is "uncultured planctomycete partial 16S ribosomal RNA". Lineage: Bacteria; Pseudomonadati; Planctomycetota. The record is from RNAcentral.
GGACUACUGGGGUAUCUAAUCCCGUUUGCUCCCCUGGCUUUCGCGCCUCAGCGUCAGAAGUGGACCAGUAUGCCGCCUUCGCCACCGGAGUUCCUAUCGAUAUCAACGCAUUUCACCGCUCCACCGAUAGUUCCGCAUACCCCUGCCACCCUCGAGACACCCAGUAUCCGAGGCAGUUCCACAGUUGAGCUGUGGGAUUUCACCCCGGACUUGAGCACCCGCCUACGCGCCCUUUAAGCCCAGUGAUUCCGAACAACGUUCGCUCGGUUCGUCUUACCGCGGCGGCUGGCAC